Molecule: transfer RNA, 87 nt
Filed under: Gammaproteobacteria bacterium
Lineage: Bacteria; Pseudomonadati; Pseudomonadota; Gammaproteobacteria
Description: tRNA-Leu
Rfam family: tRNA
About the family: Transfer RNA (tRNA) molecules are approximately 80 nucleotides in length. Their secondary structure includes four short double-helical elements and three loops (D, anti-codon, and T loops).
Source: RNAcentral
GCGGAUGUGGUGGAAUUGGUAGACACGCCAGCUUGAGGGGCUGGUGCUCGUAAGGGCGUGGGGGUUCAAGUCCCCCCAUCCGCACCA